GAUCCUGGCUCAGGAUGAACGCUGGCGGCGUGCCUAACACAUGCAAGUCGAGCGAAGCGAUUAGAAUGAGACUUCGGUGGAAUUUUGAUUGACUGAGCGGGCGGACGGGUGAAGGUAACGCGUGGAAAACCUGCCUCAUACAGGGGGAUAACAGUUAGAAAUGACUGCUAAUACCGCAUAAGCGCACAGCACCGCAUGGUGCAGUGUGAAAAACUCCGGU
RNAcentral lists this ribosomal RNA (220 nucleotides) under uncultured bacterium. Its description in RNAcentral is "partial 16S ribosomal RNA". It matches the Rfam family "Bacterial small subunit ribosomal RNA", at positions 15 to 216 of the family's 1533-position model. The record is from RNAcentral.